UAGAAAUACUAGUAAUAGUAGGGGCGGAUGUAGCCAAGUGGAUCAAGGCAGUGGAUUUGUGAAUCCACCAUGCGCGA
RNAcentral lists this transfer RNA (77 nucleotides) under Myrcia bracteata. RNAcentral's name for it is "partial tRNA-His". Lineage: Eukaryota; Viridiplantae; Streptophyta; Magnoliopsida; Myrtales; Myrtaceae. The record is from RNAcentral. RNAcentral also lists the same sequence under 1 other name.